Molecule: ribosomal RNA, 493 nt
Filed under: uncultured bacterium
Lineage: Bacteria
Description: partial 16S ribosomal RNA
Rfam family: Bacterial small subunit ribosomal RNA
Source: RNAcentral
AUUGAACGCUGGCGGCAUGCUUUACACAUGCAAGUCGAACGGUAACAGGUUAAGCUGACGAGUGGCGAACGGGUGAGUAAUGCAUCGGAACGUGCCCGAUCGUGGGGGAUAACACUUCGAAAGAAGUGCUAAUACCGCAUACGAUCUGAGGAUGAAAGCGGGGGACCGUAAGGCCUCGCGCGAUCGGAGCGGCCGAUGUCAGAUUAGGUAGUUGGUGGGGUAAAGGCUCACCAAGCCGACGAUCUGUAGCUGGUCUGAGAGGACGACCAGCCACACUGGGACUGAGACAGGGCCCAGACUCCUACGGGAGGCAGCAGUGGGGAAUUUUGGACAAUGGGCGCAAGCCUGAUCCAGCAAUGCCGCGUGAAGGAAGAAGGCCUUCGGGUUGUAAACUGCUUUUGUACGGAGCGAAAAGGCUCCCUCUAAUACAGGGGGCUCAUGACGGUACCGUAAGAAUAAGCACCGGCUAACUACGUGCCAGCAGCCGCCGUAA